GAAAAGCCUCUAGAUAGAAAAUAGGUGCCCGUACCGCAAACCGACACAGGUAGUCAAGAUGAGAAUUCUAAGGUGAGCGAGCGAACUCUCGUUAAGGAACUCGGCAAAAUGACCCCGUAACUUCGGGAGAAGGGGUGCUCUUUAGGGUUAACGCCCAGAAGAGCCGCAGUGAAUAGGCCCAAGCGACUGUUUAUCAAAAACACAGGUCUCUGCUAAACCGUAAGGUGAUGUAUAGGGGCUGACGCCUGCCCGGUGCUGGAAGGUUAAGAGGAGUGGUUAGCUUCUGCGAAGCUACGAAUCGAAGCCCCAGUAAACGGCGGCCGUAACUAUAACGGUCCUAAGGUAGCGAAAUUCCUUGUCGGGUAAGUUCCGACCCGCACGAAAGGCGUAACGAUUUGGGCACUGUCUCAACGAGAGACUCGGUGAAAUCAUAGUACCUGUGAAGAUGCAGGUUACCCGCGACAGGACGGAAAGACCCCGUGGAGCUUUACUGUAGCCUGAUAUUGAAAUUCGGCACAGCUUGUACAGGAUAGGUAGGAGCCUUUGAAACGUGAGCGCUAGCUUACGUGGAGGCGCUGGUGG
This 582-nucleotide ribosomal RNA is filed under the name Staphylococcus aureus. RNAcentral describes it as "partial 23S ribosomal RNA". It matches the Rfam family "Bacterial large subunit ribosomal RNA", at positions 1612 to 2195 of the family's 2925-position model. The record is from RNAcentral. Lineage: Bacteria; Bacillati; Bacillota; Bacilli; Caryophanales; Staphylococcaceae.